UUUCCUUCACGGGCCGACUCAUCGGGCCCAAACCACCUACACACCCUCAAGGCCCAACCUCACUCCGGCCCGCCCACCCUGUUAACUUUGCUGAGGGCCCUGACUCGUAGGCCUUUUGGGCCCUAUUUCCUCUCUUCCGCAAGCCCAACCAAGCUGUGAUCAGAUCCAAUUGGAGCCGUUUCGAGUGUCCUUCGGCUGCAACCACGCCCCGAUCGUCGCCCCAGUCCACGAGUACACGAUUCUGAUUGACUGCAUCCGCCAUAGGUAACAGGUUCUUUUUUCUUUUGGGCUUGUUUAUCUAAUUAUGUUCUAGUUCUCUUGCAUGACAGUCCUAUUUUAAAACUUAUUUUCUUGUCAAACCGCAAAACCUAGAACAUUUACCACCACACCCAUCCUACCCACCAUUUAAAUCUAAAUAUUAAAUUAGCACACUUAGCGACAGGACAGUUCUCGAUAUCCAUCGAUCAGAUUACUUUCGGAUUUUG
This 485-nucleotide long non-coding RNA is filed under the name Phoenix dactylifera (date palm). RNAcentral's name for it is "long non-coding RNA (PDAC_LNC015949)". The record is from RNAcentral. Lineage: Eukaryota; Viridiplantae; Streptophyta; Magnoliopsida; Arecales; Arecaceae.